Molecule: ribosomal RNA, 424 nt
Filed under: uncultured bacterium
Lineage: Bacteria
Description: bacterial SSU rRNA
Rfam family: Bacterial small subunit ribosomal RNA
Source: RNAcentral
UGAGGAAUAUUGGUCAAUGGGCGGUAGCCUGAACCAGCCAAGUCGCGUGAGGGAAGACGGCCCUACGGGUUGUAAACCUCUUUUGCCGGGGAGCAACGGCGGUGACGUUUCACCGAGAGGAGAGUACCCGGAGAAAAAGCAUCGGCUAACUCCGGGCAAGCAGCCGCGGUAAUACGGAGGAUGCGAGCGUUAUCCGGAUUUAUUGGGUUUAAAGGGUGCGUAGGCGGCGUUCCAAGUCAGCGGUAAAAUUGCGGGGCUCAACCCCGCCGAGCCGUUGAAACUGGCGCGCUUGAGUGGGCGAGAAGUAUGCGGAAUGCGUGGUGUAGCGGUGAAAUGCAUAGAUAUCACGCAGAACCCCGAUUGCGAAGGCAGCAUACCGGCGCCCGACUGACGCUGAAGCACGAAAGCGUGGGUAUCGAACAGG